This 373-nucleotide ribosomal RNA is filed under the name uncultured eukaryote. RNAcentral's name for it is "partial 18S ribosomal RNA". It matches the Rfam family "Eukaryotic small subunit ribosomal RNA", at positions 592 to 976 of the family's 1831-position model. The record is from RNAcentral.
CAAUAGCGUAUAUUAAAGUUGUUGCAGUUAAAAAGCUCGUAGUUGAAUUUUUGCUUGCCGCCGAUGUCGGAACUUCCGUACGUUCGGCGGCGUGCAUCCUUGGGUGGAACCUGUGUGGCAUUAGGUUGUCGUGCAGGGGAUGCUCAUCGUUUACUGUGAAAAAGUUAGAGUGUUCAAAGCAGGCUUACGCCGUUGAAUAUAUUAGCAUGGAAUAAUAAGAUAGGACCUUGGUACUAUUUUGUUGGUUUGCGCACCGAGGUAAUGAUUAACAGGGACAGUUGGGGGUAUUCGUAUUCCAUUGUCAGAGGUGAAAUUCUUGGAUUUUUGGAAGACGAACUACUGCGAAAGCAUUUACCAAGGAUGUUUUCAUUAA